AUGGCGGUGGGGAUUGGGGGUGACAGGGAGGCGGAGACUGGGGACGCCAAGGAGGAGGCUAGUGUGGUGGAAACUGGGAUGACUGAGGAAGCCAUUGAUGAGCUUGCUGUUGUUUGGGUCAAAAUCUUUGGCAUUCCCAAGCCAGCUAGAAAUGAGGAUGCAGUGAAAGCUAUAGUUGAGCUGGUGGGUGAGUUUGAGGCUCUUGACAACUUGUCUUUGAGGAGAGAUGGUCCUGUGAGAGUGAGGGUGGCUUGUAAAGACCCUAGAGAGCUUCACUUUGUGAUACAUGUCUACAUUAACAAAGUGGGAUAUAAGAUUAGAUGGGAACCAGAGGGAUUUGCCCCCUAUGAGAACAAAAACUCAUCCCCUCCAGAGGAUGGAGAUGAUGAUGACAAAGGUGAUGAAGGAAAUGAGGACAUGAAUGUCGAUGAAGACUUCAAUAACCAAAGCCCUAUGAGAGGUCGACAGAACAAGGAUAACAGCUCUCAGAUGGGGGGUAGGGGUCAGCUGCACACUGCUCCCCCAGCAUACAAAGGGAAAACUUAUCAACAAGAUUCAUGCAGAAGUUUGGUAAAAAAGAUGGCAUGCAAGAAGCUGAGCCUGUUGGAGUGUGUUGACUCUGGGAGUAAGGACCUCGUUCUUUGGGAGGGUGAACCAGAGGAAGUGCAAGAAUAUCAAGAGUUGGAGCUGCCUCUCAGUGGUCAGUUCACCCUGAGAGGAGGAGAUGAGGAAAAAAUGAUCUCAACUAAUGACUCCCAAGAGAAAUGUGACAUCCCUACCUUGUCAGAUAUUGAGAGGUUGAGGGAGGAAGAAGAGUUUGAAGAAGAAGACUCUUUCAAAGAAGUGUCAUACAAGAAGAGACCCAAGAAAAGGGUGGAACCGGUUGUCACUUCUAGGAUGAGCCUCAGAAACAGGGAGAUGGCGACUGUACCAAUUCCUAAAAGAGCUGAAUUGUUAACUCAAAAGAAGAAUCUGGAGUGCACAGGGAAGAAUGCUGUGGAUGUUAGUAGUAACAUAGAUACCAUUAAGGCAAAAGAGCUAGUUCAAGCCAAGCUGGCUGAAUUGAGAUGGAAACAGGAAAAGGAGAAAGAGGAAGUCCCAGUCAAUGAGAGUUUGAGAAACUCAUCAGUGGAGGUA
Molecule: long non-coding RNA, 1137 nt
Filed under: Oryza sativa Indica Group (long-grained rice)
Lineage: Eukaryota; Viridiplantae; Streptophyta; Magnoliopsida; Poales; Poaceae
Description: lncRNA OsMH63_05G022610
Source: RNAcentral